AGUGAUUCUUUUACUCCUUAACUGAACAAAGGCACAAUCACUUUUCAUCUUUGUGUUACCAAGAAGAAAAUAGAGAACAACAACUAUAUAUCAACUGUCUUCUGAUGGGUACCAUGUUAGACAUUUACUAUGUACUUUGAUCAGCACAGAACUCCUCUAAGCUCUAUAUCAGUAUCCCCAUUUUGCAGACAAGAAAAUGGAGACUCAGAAAAUUAAGUCACUUGUCCAAGGCCCCACAACCAGAGACCAGCAGUUCUGGGACUGGAAGCCAUUCUGGCUGACCCUGAAGGCUAUGCACGUCCUCCUGCAGGCAAUGCUGCUGACAAAGGCUAACCUCAGAUUGCUGAAGGACAAUUAUCAUGGUCUUUCUUAGUCCUCACAGUUGUAUUCUGAUCAGCAGACCUCGUUAUCGGUGUCCCAGUGAUAAUUCAGAAAUGGAAAUAAAUAAACACAGGCCCGAGUACAAGUUCUAAGCAAGAGAAAGUCAAAAGCUGAGAUGUAUUUGAUUUCCUCCCGCUAGUAAGAAGGGCCAUGAAGUCAGUGUUGUAGGAAAGUUGGGACAGAAGCUUCUGAAGCAGUACUGCAUGCAGUAAGCUUUCGAUGAGGUCACCCAUGGAGGAGGGGUACAGGUGCAUCUUUGUCUGAAGGACUGGCAGUUCUUUUCAAGAUGAGAGUGUGAAAGAAUGUGACCAAAUUCCUGAAAUACCAGUGAGGGACAACAGGCAUGCCCGGCAACAGCAAUGGAGCGGGUGGUUCCCAAGAGUGCAGCCCAGGGCUGGCCACAGGGCCUUACUGGGCUCUGCCUGGGAUUUCAUCUCCAGUGGAGGCACAUGACAAAGAUUGGCUUUUGAGAGGCACUGUUGAAGAGACUGAUGUAUAUGAGCUCAUUUUCUUUUCCCCACAGCCCAAAGAGCAUCCGCAGGGAGAAGCUCUGGAGCCAGCAGUGCUCUUUUUGUUCUGUAGCUGAAGAAACCAUGCCAAGGAUGACCAACAGGCAGACUUCAGCAUGGAGACCGACCUCCAUCCAACUGAUGAAUGGGAGUCUACCAUCUGACGCUCUGCAUCCACAGACCCAGCUAUGGGUCCCUUUCCUAUUACACCAUUGACUUAAGGCCACAGGGAUCUAGUGCAAUAAGUCAUUUAUGAAAAUAUGUAAAUCAGAUAACCAAUAGAAUAUCAGGCUAAAGCUGGCUUCUGUUGCCAUGACACCUCACUCUCAUGGGCUUGGUCAGUGGCGUCAGGGUAACUGAACUUCACUGCUCUGGGACCUUAGGACAAUAUUCCCGCCCACCUCCUCUCAUGCCCCCUGGUGAAUCCAGAUGAAUUCUAGAAUGUGUUCCAGCCACUGCUAGCUGGAGGGAAUCACCUCCGACUUAGGAAAGUAUUGAGAUCUAGGGACAGGGCAACCUCAGCUCCACAAAAGCCCACAAUUCCAUUGUCUGGGCAGAGACUGCAGGCCCUCCGUUUCUCCUCUGGGUUGUUGAGAGAAUGCCUGAGAGGAGGUGAGAGAUGGAGAGGAUGUGGAGGGGGAAUGAGCUCCCCAGCAGGGUUGGCUCCCUCUGUUGGGCCAUGUACCUGGGGCUACUCUGGUCAUGGGCAAGAAGCAGGAUGUAAGUCUCUCCUAACUCCCCUGAGAUCUCUGGGGCAGGGGUGGGGAGAGGGAAGGUGGUCUCACCAGUGAGAGCUGGCCUACCGUUGUACACCAGGCCCCAUCCUACAAUUCAAUGCAGCAGACAGCUGCCUCUGGGAUGUGACUAAACAGA
Molecule: long non-coding RNA, 1763 nt
Organism: Cervus elaphus (red deer)
Lineage: Eukaryota; Metazoa; Chordata; Mammalia; Artiodactyla; Cervidae
Exons: 5
Source: RefSeq, a predicted model, not a curated record